Molecule: unclassified non-coding RNA, 708 nt
Filed under: Hevea brasiliensis (rubber tree)
Lineage: Eukaryota; Viridiplantae; Streptophyta; Magnoliopsida; Malpighiales; Euphorbiaceae
Source: RNAcentral
ACUUCCUUCCUCACAAACCUACUAUAAAGCCCAAGUGGAAUUGCCAUCUCCCCGGUCCACUGUGUAGGCAGUAACAAUUGCAGGAAGAGAAGAGAUAGAGGAUGGCGUUUAGUGGUGAAGUAAGCAACAAACAGGUGAUAUUCAGAGACUAUGUGACUGGUUUUCCUCAAGAAUCUGACAUGUGCUUCACCACUGGUACUGUAAAACUCAAGGUACCAGAAGGUUCUAAUGGUGUUCUUGUCAAGAAUCUCUAUCUCUCCUGUGAUCCUUACAUGCGAAUCUUGAUGGGGAAACAUGAGGUUUCCAGCUCAUUUUCCUCCUAUACUCCAGGCUCUGUAAGCUCUUUCAUUUGUUUCUCUUCUGUUUCCUUUCUCUAUUGCUUCAGUUUCUUUAUUCUUAGUUAUUCAAUGGGUUUUAGACUUAUAGUGGUCUAUCUGAAAUUCCUUAAAUUUUAGCUGAGGCCCCCCUCUUAGAGUAUCAAGUUUUAUUUAUGCUAUCAAAUUGGGGAAAUAUAAAAAUUGUUAUGUAUAAUCCCCUUUUAAUUUUUCAUCCAUAGCCCACAAGUAAUCCCAGUUUUGAAUUUGUAUUGAUGAAAACACGCAGCCACUUACUGGGUAUGGAGUGGCUAAAGUUUUGGAUUCAGGAAACCCAGACUUUAAAGAAGGGGACUUGGUUUGGGGAAUAACUGGAUGGGAAGAGUACAGUCUC